UGGGGUAUAGCUCAGUGGUAGAGCAUUAGCUUAGCAUGGGUGAGGUCCUGGGUUUAAUCCCCAGUACCUCCA
This 72-nucleotide transfer RNA is filed under the name Camelus bactrianus (Bactrian camel). It matches the Rfam family "tRNA". Rfam says of the family: Transfer RNA (tRNA) molecules are approximately 80 nucleotides in length. Their secondary structure includes four short double-helical elements and three loops (D, anti-codon, and T loops). Further hydrogen bonds mediate the characteristic L-shaped molecular structure. tRNAs have two regions of fundamental functional importance: the anti-codon, which is responsible for specific mRNA codon recognition, and the 3' end, to which the tRNAs corresponding amino acid is attached (by aminoacyl-tRNA synthetases). tRNAs cope with the degeneracy of the genetic code in two manners: having more than one tRNA (with a specific anti-codon) for a particular amino acid; and 'wobble' base-pairing, i.e. permitting non-standard base-pairing at the 3rd anti-codon position. RNAcentral also lists the same sequence under 3 other names. Lineage: Eukaryota; Metazoa; Chordata; Mammalia; Artiodactyla; Camelidae. The record is from Rfam by way of RNAcentral.